This 478-nucleotide ribosomal RNA is filed under the name uncultured bacterium. RNAcentral's name for it is "partial 16S ribosomal RNA". It matches the Rfam family "Bacterial small subunit ribosomal RNA", at positions 28 to 507 of the family's 1533-position model. The record is from RNAcentral.
GAUGAACGCUGGCGGCGUGCCUAACACAUGCAAGUCGAACGGAGUCCACCCUUUAAGACCUUCGGGUCAAAGAGGGGAAGACUGAGUGGCGGACGGGUGAGUAACACGUGGGCAACCUGGCUCAUAGAGGGGGAUAACAGAGAGAAAUUUCUGCUAAUACCGCAUAAGCACACACUGCCGCAUGGCAGAGGGUGAAAAGAGAAUCGCUAUGAGAUGGACCCGCGUCUGAUUAGCCAGUUGGCAGGGUAAGAGCCUACCAAAGCGACGAUCAGUAGCCGAUCUGAGAGGAUGAACGGCCACAUUGGGACUGAGACACGGCCCAAACUCCUACGGGAGGCAGCAGUGGGGGAUAUUGCACAAUGGGGGGAACCCUGAUGCAGCGACGCCGCGUGAGUGAAGAAGUAUUUCGGUAUGUAAAGCUCUAUCAGCAGGGAAGAUAAUGACAGUACCUGAAUAAGAAGCCCCGGCUAACUACGUG